CUACCUUCCAUCCAUUUACUCUCUAAGAUAUUCAAGAGAUAUUACGGUUAAACGAUGAAAGAGUUUAAGAGUUUAUCAGCCACAUUUCUCUUCCAUGGUCUGGACCGCAGAGAAGUAAGAUGGAGCCGCUAACCCCUGGUCUGGACAAUAGAGAUUCCAUGGUUUCUCUAAUUUUUUGAUUCAAUUGCGUAAUCAGUAGUCGUGGGCACAAGCACAUCUUUGUAUAAUCAAAGUCUGUAUAAUCAAAGUCUGAAACAAACAAGGAACGCCAAGAGUGCAAAGCAGAAACAGAAGAUGAAACCAACAAGGAGCGUAAAAAGGCUCGAAAGAUUGAGAAAGAGGCACGCCAAGAACGCGAAGUAGAAACAGAAGCUAAACCCGAGGCCGAUGAACGUAAAGCGGCGCGGAAAGCCCGCAAAGAAGCCGCGCGGAAAGAAGAUGAAGAUGGCAAUUCCGAGCCCUGAAGGCACCGCCGUCGAGCCGAAAGAAGAUAAAGAGAUGGAGUCCUGAAGCACAAGGCAUUGUUUUAAGGUUUUUUUUUUUAAUUUUUUGAUUAUUUUUUUUCUUGAUCCAAUUGUAGAAUUUAGAAUCAGAUGUCAACGCGGCAAAUCUUUCUCUUUUUUAUUUUAUUCAAUUCAAACUUGUGAAUAAGCCGUGCAAAUUUUUUUUUAUUCAAUUGUAAAAGCAUUUCGGUUUGGAAUAACAUGGUUUGUAAUGACACGGUUUGUAAAGUUUCGGUUGAAAUGCUUGUAUCUUAAAUGGAAUUUAUUAAAUGGUAAAGUUAAAUGACCGAGUAUUCACUCUUUAUUAUAUAUUCCCAGCUUUGCAUAGACUUUCAAGAAAUUCUCAAAUUUAUUGAUCGAUCACCU
Molecule: long non-coding RNA, 869 nt
Filed under: Arachis ipaensis
Lineage: Eukaryota; Viridiplantae; Streptophyta; Magnoliopsida; Fabales; Fabaceae
Description: long non-coding RNA (AIPA_LNC001622)
Source: RNAcentral